UAUGCUAUGGACCGGGGAAGGAUGAGAAGCUUCGACGAAGGUUCGAGUCGAGCGACAGCGAGACAACGUUGCCGCAGGCAACGGCCCGAAGGGUGAGGAGCGAAGCGACGAAUAAUCCUUCCCCCACCACCA
This 132-nucleotide small RNA is filed under the name Cronobacter sakazakii. Its description in RNAcentral is "RtT sRNA". It matches the Rfam family "RtT RNA". Rfam says of the family: This family represents a bacterial cis-regulatory element known as RtT RNA. The exact function of RtT is unknown although it is thought that it may be involved in changing the cellular response in relation to amino acid starvation. The record is from RNAcentral. Lineage: Bacteria; Pseudomonadati; Pseudomonadota; Gammaproteobacteria; Enterobacterales; Enterobacteriaceae.